RNAcentral lists this ribosomal RNA (274 nucleotides) under uncultured bacterium. Its description in RNAcentral is "partial 16S ribosomal RNA". It matches the Rfam family "Bacterial small subunit ribosomal RNA", at positions 523 to 796 of the family's 1533-position model. The record is from RNAcentral.
AUACGGAGGCGGCUAGCGUUGUUCGGAAUUACUGGGCGUAAAGCGCACGUAGGCGGACUGAUCAGUUGGGGGUGAAAUCCCAGGGCUCAACCCUGGAACUGCCUCCAAUACUGUCAGUCUUGAGAUCGGAAGAGGUGAGUGGAAUUCCUAGUGUAGAGGUGAAAUUCGUAGAUAUUAGGAGGAACACCAGUGGCGAAGGCGGCUCACUGGUCCGAUACUGACGCUGAGGUGCGAAAGCGUGGGGAGCAAACAGGAUUAGAAACCCUAGUAGUCC